Molecule: long non-coding RNA, 2984 nt
Filed under: Vigna radiata
Lineage: Eukaryota; Viridiplantae; Streptophyta; Magnoliopsida; Fabales; Fabaceae
Description: long non-coding RNA (VRAD_LNC001236)
Source: RNAcentral
GCAUUUCAUUACUAUCAUUCAAGUUAAUAUUUACACAUGAGGAAGCUCUCUUUUAUAGAAUAAGAGAGGCUAUGAAUCUUGCUAGGGAAGCUACUAAGAUUUACAAAGCAUGUGCAGCAGAAGCUUUGAUCCACGUGUGUUUCAAUUCCCAUGAGAAACUCAUUUAUCACGUGGAAAGCGUAGAGAAUGUGCUGCAACAAGGGGAAGCCACGGUUGGCUGCUUUGCACAUGGAAAAUGUGGAAAACGUGGCAGCUAGAUUGUAGAAAACAUGCUUCAAAUCAGCUACAUGGUUGGCUGCACAAUGCACUCCUACUUGCCUCCUUUGUGCUUCCUUGAUUGGCAAUCUUCCUAGGAUGUGUAGGCAUAAUUUCCUACUUUUAUUUGUAUCCUACAAAACAAUGUAAAUGGAUUAGAGAAUCUAUCUAAGACUUUAGAUAAGGAAAGUGUUUUGGAAAUCUUUUAUUGUACUUCCCUUUCUUUAGUCUUAGUUGUAGUUGAUGCUUCUUGGAUGGGAAGUCCCUUUAGCGGUUGCCAUCAUGAUCCCUAGACGAAAAAUUGAAAACAAUUGGUAAAUUGAAGGAAACUUAAAGACAAUGGAAAAGUAAAGGUGAGGUCUCCUGGGUGAGGCUUAGACUUUGGAUCUAAGACACACUCACCGUCUACCAAUUUUUAGGUUAUGAGACUUUAAGUCAAGUUAGCAAAUGAGAGAAGAACACUUAUGAGCUCUUCCACCUCACUUGCUUGAAAUGGCUCACUUACAAAAAUUGAAGAAAGAAACAAAAUACAAGGUGAAGAACACAAAGAAAUGAAAAUAGAAAAUAAUAAGGAAGUUUUAAUGUGGCAGCUUUAGUUGCUCUCAAUCAAAAUCUGAUGCAGCAAUUAACAUCUCAAUAGGCUCACAGCUGCAAAGUGGAGUUUCUCUGCUGAGACAGUGAUCACACAGGAAUUCUGCUGUCACGCUGCAAUGAUUUCACUAGCUGCAGCAGCACAAUUUCUCCAUUCCCGUCAGCCUUUCCUUGUGGCUUGUGUAAUCAAUCUCCUAACUUCCUUUGAUGCUUCCUUGCAUGUAUGGAGUCUGAGUUAAAGCACACCUACAUAGCAGGCCAGUUCAGAACUUACACUGCAUCAUGCUACUGCCCGUAAUUACAACAUAGACUGACACCAACACAUAACCUUUUAUCAAACAGGUUGUGUGCAAGAGUUCCAAAAAAUUUUAACAUCAAAUAAUUAAGCAGGUUUUAAUCACGGAAGCACUUCAAAAGGAUCCUAGGAAUAGCUCUAGAUUAGAUUGGACGGACAUCAAUGAAUAACAGCAAGCAAUUGGACCAGAAAAGCAGUUUUCAAAAAAUAUCACAAACUGUUUGUGAUAAUGCUUCAAAGAGCAGUCAACAUUAUGCAGAAUUGGUUAAUUCAGUCUCGGCAAUAACACUUUACUGAAUGCAUUGGUUAAUUUGACUUUUUUAUUGUUUGGAUCUUCUAAAUGAUAUUUUACAGAACCAAGCUUUUACUACAUCCAAAAAUUAACGAAUCAACCAAAUUCAAUUUGACAAACAGAAUGUAUUACUGCACUACUACGGUCUCAACAGGAAUUGACUCAAAAAUUGCAAGUCACAUAGGCAUUUUGCAUAUAACAGCAAUUGGUCAGCUUAGACAGCUUCAAACAUGUUUGAAUGAUUAAAACAAACUUAUUUGAGCACAAUUUCAGUUACAAUUCAUAGCAUAUCAGAAUUGGAGUAUGGCAGUUCUGAUUUAAGUCAUUUUAAACAACUAUGACAGCCAAAUUUUGAAAACAAUUGUAAUUCAACUCAAACACAACAAGAGUGAACUUAGGACAAUCAAAUAAAAUUGCUCAAAGUGGCAGAAAAUGAUUUAGAUGGCUGGAUAUGAUCUAAAGUACUUUAGCCAGUUUUACACGCAGAAAGUAAUCAACUAAGUCAAGUGCAGAUCGAUUAACUGCAAGUAUCAAAGUAUUCUGACUUUGCACACUCAUUUCAUGCCUAAAACAAUUUUCAUUAUGGAACAACUUUCAUGUAACACGAGAAUUAUGUAGAAACAAGUCACUUAACAGCUCCAAACAAUGAAACAGUACACAUAACAAUUGUAGGCAAUGAAACAGUACCACUGAAUUUCAAAAUCAGAUGCAGUGUGAUCUGUUAUGGAUCUACUGAAUUCUCAAAGAUUAUCACCAAUUCAUACACAUGAGCUCAUCAUCUCAAUUGUCAUCGCUCAUAUAUUGUCAGAGACAUGUAUCUCAUAUAGAUUUUCAGUACAAACGCAGAUCACACGGUUUUCAACCAGAUUUUAAACAAAAAUGGAAUUGCACAUGACAUAUGACAUAACAGGAUGGAUGCUCAAAUUAAAAAUGACUCAACCAAAAAUUUCAACCGAUUAAAAUGAAAAGACUCAAUCAAUUAAAAAAAAUAGCACGGUUCAAGACUCAAAGAUCCUAAAAAUGUCAAAACCAAUGAAACAGUAACAGGAAUCAACAGAGACAGUGAAGGAAUGGUGGUGACAGAAUUUAAAUUGCAGAAAGAUGAACUUAUCUCACGGCUCCAGCAUCCUUGCUCUGAAUACCACUUCAUGAGCCACGUAUGGAGAUAGAUCUGCUGAACCGAGAGAAGUUCCAAGAAACAGAGAAGUUGCUGGAUGUCAAGAACACUACGUCAGACUUCAAGCAGAAUCACAGGCAACGGAAGUGAUGUCCAUGGCAGUGGAUGGAUAUGCGAUCUAUGGAGAUAUGGAAACGGAAGCUAUGCUUAGGAGGUGACUACAACUCAGGCAGCCUUCCAUACAAGGAAGGAAGUUGUAGGGAAAGAUUUAAGCUAGGAAUGACUUUCAGAAGGAGAGAUGGCCAAAGCAAAUCUCAGCAGAAAUUCUCAUUUAUCUAAAAGUGAUUUUACAUAUGCUGCAAGAUGGAUUUAUAGGAAAUCCAAUGAGCUAUGUGUGCUGUAGAUGGAUUCCGAGAGAAAUGGAUCUCCAUCCA